RNAcentral lists this ribosomal RNA (568 nucleotides) under Syngnathus auliscus (barred pipefish). Its description in RNAcentral is "partial large subunit ribosomal RNA". It matches the Rfam family "Bacterial large subunit ribosomal RNA", at positions 1817 to 2597 of the family's 2925-position model. Lineage: Eukaryota; Metazoa; Chordata; Actinopteri; Syngnathiformes; Syngnathidae. The record is from RNAcentral.
CGCCUCUUGCAUUAUAUGUAUAAGAGGUCCCGCCUGCCCUGUGACUAUAUGUUUAACGGCCGCGGUAUUUUGACCGUGCAAAGGUAGCGCAAUCACUUGUCUUUUAAAUAAAGACCUGUAUGAAUGGCAUAACGAGGGCUUAACUGUCUCCUUCUCCCGGUCAAUGAAAUUGAUCUCCCCGUGCAGAAGCGGGGAUAUUAUUAUAAGACGAGAAGACCCUGUGGAGCUUUAAAUAAUGAGAGAUUUUAUGCAAUUAACCUAAAAAGAGUAGAAGCAAAUUUACCCUCUCUCUGAUAUUUUUGGUUGGGGCGACCGCGGAGUAAAGAGAAACCUCCGUGAGGAAUGAGGUAACUAACCUUAAAUCCCAGAACGACAAUUCAAAGAAGCAAAAUUUUUGACCUAAAGAUCCGGCAAAGCCGAUCAACGAACCUAGUUACCCCAGGGAUAACAGCGCAAUCCCCUUCAAGAGUCCCUAUCGACAAGGGGGUUUACGACCUCGAUGUUGGAUCAGGAUAUCCUAAUGGUGUAGCCGCUAUUAAGGGUUCGUUUGUUCAACGAUUAAAAUCCU